Portunus trituberculatus (swimming crab) is the source of this 1175-nucleotide long non-coding RNA. RefSeq lists it as uncharacterized. The record is from RefSeq and is a predicted model, not a curated record. The transcript is spliced from 3 exons. NCBI's taxonomy places the organism in Eukaryota, Metazoa, Arthropoda, Malacostraca, Decapoda, Portunidae.
GAGAGAGAGAGAGAGAGAAUGCCACCGCACAGAGGUGACGUGGGCUGUUGUUGGCGGCCCACAGUGCCACAGUUAGAGGAAGAAAGAAUUCAGAAAGUUAUUGUUUUGCUUGUUUCAUCGCAGAAUUAGUGCCCUACAGGAUUAGUGCCUUGCAAGGGGCAUUACUAUAUACUCGGCAGGAUUCAGAGGUUGGGGAGUACAUGAAGACCAGCAGCAUUUCGGACCACUGAUCUCAACACUGCUUCAGCUACCUGCGUGGAGGGCGAGCAGCGGAUGAGAAAUGCCUUCAGUUCAGCAAGUCAAGAAUAACUUCAAUUCUUAGAAAACGAUUAAGAGUCGUGUUCAUCCCUGCGGAGGUUGAUUCACAAUCCACAAGCAGGUCACCCAAGCCUUCAUGAGAAAAGUUUAACGGCAAUAUGUUUUGAGACACCAAACUCUAGAGGAACCUCGGAAAAGAAAAGUCAUGAAAAACUACAGGGUGAGCUUGACUUAAGAAAUUGCAAUGGUAUCUUUUCUUUAACCUUCUUUAAACAAGCUGAUAGAUAUUUUAUUGACCACAACAUACAGUAAGCGACAUAAUACAAAUAACCAGCAUGCUCCAGCACAUCGCUCUCACACUAAACACAUCUGACACAAUUAACACAUUAGAAACAUACAAGACACACUUUUCCUCACCUGUCUCCUGAGUCCCAACUCCUGUUUUCUGAUGUGAGGGUCUCGUUUGUAUCUUCUCAGGUGGAAUUAUCUUGAGAGCACAUUUCCCCUUCCCUUACUCUCACCCCUGCUCUGCUGUCUCCCCUGCCUUCCCUGCCUUCACUCUCCCCACGUCUCCCUCGUCUCUCCCCACAGCGGGUUCUAUUGCAAGUUCGAAAUGUGAUCGUCAUUAAAGUUAUCUUGAGGUAAUUCCUCCGCGGUCGUCAGAAGGUUGAGUGAGUGAGGCUUGCCGCUGCCUAGGUGGGGGGGUGUGGCAUGGGCUGGUGGGACUCCGCAAGGGGACUGGUGGCUUUAGAAUGGCCUGCUGGGGUCUGAGAACGGGCUAGUGAUACCUGACCGGGGCUUGAUUGAGACUAGAGGAGUCCGUGUAGAACUGAGCGGUGGCUUAUAGGCCUGCUGGAAGGGAUACACACACACACACACACACACACACACACACACACACACACACACACACACAC